This 750-nucleotide unclassified non-coding RNA is filed under the name Hevea brasiliensis (rubber tree). Lineage: Eukaryota; Viridiplantae; Streptophyta; Magnoliopsida; Malpighiales; Euphorbiaceae. The record is from RNAcentral.
GUUAGUGGGAGGUUAUUCCUCCAUAUAGAAGUAGUGCUCCUUGUAUGUAGGGAGUAGUUAUUUCUGCACUUGUAUAUAUUCAGCAAAUCUGAUGGAAUAAAACAGACUGUUAAAAACCCAAUUUAAGUCUUCUUGACUGAGGUUUCAGGCUCCCUUUAACGAGUCUGACUUUUUCUUGUCUUCCACCAUAGGUCGCUCAAGGAAACACCCUAACCCAAACACCCAAACACCAACCCCUCCUACUACCCAUCGACCCAUAACUAGAUCCGUUAGCCGGGACCAUAACAGUUUGGUAUCAGAGCCUGCAGUUAUGGGAGAUUCUGUUCAAGACCAGCUGGCUAAGCUCUUUAACUUGUUAUUAGCCGAGCAACAAUCCAACAAGGAACUGCACGCCAAAUUCAAUGCUCUAACUCAGGAAUGGGAAUCCACUAAAAAGGAUUUCCAAACCAGCAGCACUGGAAGUCCAGCAAGCUUACGGAGAGAUAAGGGAAUUUCGGGUACUGCGAAUUCUGAAAAAUCUGGAGGAAGCUCGUUUGUACCGAAAUUCACAAAACUGGAUUUUCCUCGCUAUGAUGGGAAAGAUGACCCUUUGGGAUGGCUAAACCGUUGCAAACACUUCUUUCAGCACCAACAAACUCCGGAAGAAGAGAUGGUCAGUUUAGCUUCAUACCAUCUCGAAGGAAUUGCCCAACUUUGGUACAUGCAGUUGCUGGAUGACAUUCCGAAUCCCUCUUGGGCUGAGUUUUCUCA